RNAcentral lists this ribosomal RNA (403 nucleotides) under uncultured bacterium. Its description in RNAcentral is "bacterial SSU rRNA". It matches the Rfam family "Bacterial small subunit ribosomal RNA", at positions 354 to 776 of the family's 1533-position model. The record is from RNAcentral.
GUGGGGAAUUUUGCACAAUGGGGGAAACCCUGAUGCAGCGACGCCGCGUGAUUUAGAAGGCCUUCGGGUUGUAAAAAUCUUUUUUAUGGGAUGAAAAUGACAGUACCAUAAGAAUAAGGUCCGGCUAAAUACGUGCCAGCAGCCGCGGUAAUACGUAUGGACCGAGCGUUGUCCGGAAUCAUUGGGCGUAAAGGGUACGUAGGCGGCCUAGUAAGUUAGAAGUGAAAUAAUAUAGCUCAACUAUAUAAAGCUUUUAAAACUGUUAGGCUUGAGAGAUGAAAGGGAAAGUGGAAUUCCUAGUGUAGCGGUGAAAUGCGCAGAUAUUAGGAAGAAUACCGGUGGCGAAGGCGACUUUCUGGUCAUCAUCUGACGCUGAGGUACGAAAGCGUGGGUAGCAAACAGG